UACAAAUUUGGGAGACACUGACAUUUAGGCC
RNAcentral lists this non-coding RNA (31 nucleotides) under Homo sapiens (human). The record is from RNAcentral. Lineage: Eukaryota; Metazoa; Chordata; Mammalia; Primates; Hominidae.